AUAGCUUGAGACCGUCUCCUGUCUCCGCAACACACCGUGUUUUGCAAUGGAAAUCAUGCACAGUUGGGUGGUAAAAGUUGUAAUAUCCUUAUAUUUUUGCGUGAUCCUGAAACUGAAAUUGAUAUUAAACUCGUUGUUACACUGCUAACUGUGAUGCAUGAAGUUAGAGGGUCAUAAUGUAAUCCCUCCGAAUGCAUGCGAGAUUCAGUCAGAAAUAUUGACAAAAUCUGUUUCAGUCACUUGGGUCAGAGCAGGAUCUGCGCCGCCAUCGUCAAUGACACAUUGAAACCCUAAUUGGAAACCCUAAACUUUUGUUCACCAUGUAUACUUAUAAAGUCGGUCUCACCUUCACUCUGAAAUCGAACUUCAUCUGUGAGAUUCCUCCUCCCUCUCUCUGUGUAGUUAUUAGUUAGGGUUCAGUUGUGUGACUAGAUAUUGUGGGCUUUUGUUUUGAUGUGUGUAGUGUACACUGUGAGGAUAUCUACUUUUGGUUGAGAGCCUGCUCAUUGAUGGAUCCAAACCUCCUACUCGUUCUGAAUGCCACUUUCGUUACUGCGUGUGUCCAGAAUAAUCAAGACAGUUGAUGAAACACGUUUGCAUGGGUAAUUUGCGCCUGAAUUCUGUGAUGCAAAACACCUUGGAGAACUGAUGUCUAUCCAUAGUCCGUUUUUUUUUGUAGGGUUAGGGUUUCAGCGUGCCCCUUCCUUAUUAUUUCAUGUGGUAGAAGCCUUUAGCUGAGAUCUUCUGUCGUUUCUUCUCUAUCUAUUCGGUGUGCUAACGAAGAUACAGCGCGGUUUUAAAUUGUGGAAUUUUCGUUGGUACGCACUAUGAGGAAAUGAAUUUGGUUGAGAGCUUGCUCGCUGAUUGAAACCAAACCUUCUACUCAUUCUGAGUGCUCUUUUUAGCGUAGAGUGUAUAUGAAUUACUUAAGGCAUGUGAUGAAACAAAUUUGCAUGGGUAAUUUGCGCCUGAUCUCUGUGAUGCAAAACACCUUGGAGAACUGAUGCCUGUCCAGAAUGUGAGUGGAGUAGAUUGGAGUCAGUCUGGAAGACCAGUGAGGAUCUUUAUUUGGAAUUACCGGCUGAAGGUUUUACUCAAAUCUGAAUGCUGAGAACUGGCUGACUGAGGUCUUCCCUUUAAGUCAAUUGAUUGUCGCCAACCUGCCACGAAAUGGGUAGUUUGAACUAUGACCCAUAAUUCGACCAGGGUUGGGCGUAGAUUUCUUUUCACUUCUCGAUAGGAAGCCAAGUGCAUGCCGUGAAGGCUGUUGCAUAUUGGCGCCAUUUACGGUGAUGACAUCUUCUCACGACUUUUGUCACACAUGUCAGGAAUUUUUGUGUAUGCAUCAGAUGAAGAAAAUAUUGAUUGUUCGGGAAAAAGUGAGCAAUGUCAAUUUGGAAUGUUAAUAUCCCGUGAAAUUGUUUGCCGGAAAUAUUGGAGGUGUUAACAUUCUGGUAUCUCGAUCAUCAGGUGGUAGCAGAUUGAGCAAUUUAUUGAUCCAGAAGAUAUGUAGCAACAAUUCUCAGUCAAUUGUGUCAUCUCUACGAUGAACAGUGCAGUGAACACUCGCACAAUCGUCUUGCUACAAAUGCAUCGAUGGAAAUGAAAUUUAGCUUACAAAUUGACUAAAUAUCAUGUAACCAGCAGUAGUUGUGGUACUUAGUCACACCAACUUCUAGUUAACCUGAUGUUUUCUUAACUCCUCUGCCACAUAUUUCUGAUCAGAGAAUUGUACACUUCUCCUUCUCCUUUAUAUCAAACUAUAUUCCUGGGGGUGGUGAAACAA
Long non-coding RNA from Physcomitrium patens, 1786 nucleotides. RefSeq lists it as uncharacterized. NCBI's taxonomy places the organism in Eukaryota, Viridiplantae, Streptophyta, Bryopsida, Funariales, Funariaceae. The record is from RefSeq and is a predicted model, not a curated record.